Molecule: ribosomal RNA, 429 nt
Filed under: Chloroflexota bacterium
Lineage: Bacteria; Bacillati; Chloroflexota
Description: Chloroflexi bacterium partial 16S ribosomal RNA
Rfam family: Bacterial small subunit ribosomal RNA
Source: RNAcentral
UGGGGAAUAUUGCACAAUGGGCGCAAGCCUGAUGCAGCCAUGCCGCGUGUAUGAAGAAGGCCUUCGGGUUGUAAAGUACUUUCAGUCGGGAGGAAGGUGGUAAGGUUAGUAACCUUAUCAAUUGACGUUACCGACAGAAGAAGCACCGGCUAACUCCGUGCCAGCAGCCGCGGUAAUACGGAGGGUGCAAGCGUUAAUCGGAAUUACUGGGCGUAAAGCGCACGCAGGCGGUUGAUUGAGUCAGAUGUGAAAUCCCCGGGCUUAACCCGGGAAUUGCAUCUGAUACUGGUCAGCUAGAGUCUUGUAGAGGGGGGUAGAAUUCCAUGUGUAGCGGUGAAAUGCGUAGAGAUGUGGAGGAAUACCGGUGGCGAAGGCGGCCCCCUGGACAAAGACUGACGCUCAGGUGCGAAAGCGUGGGGAGCAAACAGG